GAUGAACGCUGGCGGCGUGCCUAAUACAUGCAAGUCGAGCGAACGGACGAGAAGCUUGCUUCUCUGAUGUUAGCGGCGGACGGGUGAGUAACACGUGGAUAACCUACCUAUAAGACUGGGAUAACUUCGGGAAACCGGAGCUAAUACCGGAUGAUAUUUUGAACCGCAUGGUUCAAAAGUGAAAGACGGUCUUGCUGUCACUUAUAGAUGGAUCCGCGCUGCAUUAGCUAGUUGGUAAGGUAACGGCUUACCAAGGCAGCGAUGCAUAGCCGACCUGAGAGGGUGAUCGGCCACACUGGAACUGAGACACGGUCCAGACUCCUACGGGAGGCAGCAGUAGGGAAUCUUCCGCAAUGGGCGAAAGCCUGACGGAGCAACGCCGCGUGAGUGAUGAAGAUCUUCGGAUCGUAAAACUCUGUUAUUAGGGAAGAACAUAUGUGUAAGUAACUGUGCACAUCUUGACGGUACCUAAUCAGAAAGCCACGGCUAACUACGUG
RNAcentral lists this ribosomal RNA (497 nucleotides) under uncultured bacterium. RNAcentral's name for it is "partial 16S ribosomal RNA". It matches the Rfam family "Bacterial small subunit ribosomal RNA", at positions 28 to 507 of the family's 1533-position model. The record is from RNAcentral.